Meriones unguiculatus (Mongolian gerbil) is the source of this 1169-nucleotide long non-coding RNA. RefSeq lists it as uncharacterized. The transcript is spliced from 3 exons. Lineage: Eukaryota; Metazoa; Chordata; Mammalia; Rodentia; Muridae. The record is from RefSeq and is a predicted model, not a curated record.
AAACAGGUGGUAAACAAACAGCGUAAUGGACAUUGUCUCCACUUGGGAUGAGCGGCUACAUGAGAAGUGCAAAAAUAGAAACAUAUGGUAACGUGGUAUUCCAAGGAUGCACAAAUGUGCUUGUACACAGAGACACUGCCACAAGGAAAUACAUUGUUUCUCUCUGAGGAACUGGGUUGAGGGGUGACCUUGAAGCCUCCUCACUGAAGUUUUCAUCAAGGGAAGUAUUGUCACCGGUCCGUGAAAGAUUCAUUCGUCUCGAAGAAAGCCCAGAUGAGCGCCCUGUGUGUAGCAGGCAUUCAUAAGCGUCUGUUGAUGGAACACGAAGGAUUACUGUUUUUGCCACAUUAAAGACUGCAAUAUAUCAAGGCUGCGGAAUGUACAGAGUGGAUCAGGGACUAUAGGUUUGUGUCACAGGUUGAACUCUAUCUCCCCCAAAAUGCGGAGGCGUGGUUGGUACUGGAUCCUUGUGCCUUCAAAUGUGACCUUAUUCAGAGAAGAGCUGUUACAGGCAUAGUUAGGGAGGCCCACUGAGGUGGUCAGUCAUUUUCUCUACCGGAUGUGAUGCGAAGGCCUAGGGAGAUCAGUGUGUGGCAACAGACAAGAGACUGGACUUAAAGGGCUGCCAGCCAAGGAACAUCAAGGAGCGCUGGCAACACUGGAUGCCUUAAGACAAAGAACUAUUCUCUCUUAACUGGCCUUUCAAGAACUCCCAACCCUGCUGAUACCUAGCUUUUGGCUCUAGGUUUCCCAGACUAUGAGAGAAAAUCCUUUAAGCAGUACAGUCCAAGGCCUAGGAAAUGAAUGUACUACAGCAGGCCUAGGAAAUGAAUACACUGGCUCCAGAAAUACGAAUAUGUGCACAUUGUCUCAGCAUGAGCUGGGUGAGUGAGGAUGAAGGAUAGACAGGUUCAGCAUCUGGGAAGCCAUGGCUAAUGCUGUGCUCAGGGAAAGAGACAGAAACCACCCUGGAAAAGGUGAGGUGUCUGAGGCCUAUUGCCAUAGAAGCCAUCCCUGGCUUUGCACACAUGAUUUAACUUCUUGUGCUGGUUUCUCAUGGCUUACCACUGGGCUGGGUGGCUAGAAGAACCUGGAGAAGUGGCCGUUUGUCCAUCCGUCCCUGAGCUGCAGAUUCUACAUUGUCUGGGUUCCUGGGGGGCCGGGGGGUU